RNAcentral lists this ribosomal RNA (497 nucleotides) under uncultured bacterium. RNAcentral's name for it is "partial 16S ribosomal RNA". It matches the Rfam family "Bacterial small subunit ribosomal RNA", at positions 28 to 507 of the family's 1533-position model. The record is from RNAcentral.
GAUGAACGCUGGCGGCGUGCCUAAUACAUGCAAGUCGAGCGAACAGACGAGGAGCUUGCUCCUCUGACGUUAGCGGCGGACGGGUGAGUAACACGUGGAUAACCUACCUAUAAGACUGGGAUAACUUCGGGAAACCGGAGCUAAUACCGGAUAACAUGUUGAACCGCAUGGUUCAACAGUGAAAGACGGUCUUGCUGUCACUUAUAGAUGGAUCCGCGCCGCAUUAGUUAGUUGGUAAGGUAACGGCUUACCAAGGCAACGAUGCGUAGCCGACCUGAGAGGGUGAUCGGCCACACUGGAACUGAGACACGGUCCAGACUCCUACGGGAGGCAGCAGUAGGGAAUCUUCCGCAAUGGGCGAAAUCCUGACGGAGCAACGCCGCGUGAGUGAAGAAGGUCUUCGGAUCGUAAAACUCUGUUAUUAGGGAAGAACAAAUGUGUAAGUAACUAUGCACGUCUUGACGGUACCUAAUCAGAAAGCCACGGCUAACUACGUG